CAAGUCGUACGGUACCGGUCCCUUCGGGGAGCCGACGAGUGGCGCACGGGUGAGUAACGCGUAGGUAAGCUACCAUUAGGUUAGGGAUAGCGCGACGAAAGUAGGAUUAAUACCUUUUAUACUUGUUAUACUUAAGUAUAAUAAGGAAAGGCUUUUGCCGCCUUUUGAUGUGCCUGCGUUGGAUUAGCUUGUUGGUGGGGUAACGGCUCACCAAGGCGACGAUCUAUAGCCGAGCUGAGAGGCUGAUCGGCCACAUUGGAACUGAGACACGGUCCAGACUCCUACGGGAGGCAGCAGCUAAGAAUCUUCCGCAAUAGACGAAAGUCUGACGGAGCGACGCCGCGUGAAUGAUGAAGGCCCUUCGGGUUGUAAAGUUCUUUUAUAGGGGAAGAAAGUUUGGUGUAGUCCAAUCUGACGGUACCCUCUGAAUAAGGUCCGGCUAACUACGUGCCAGCAGCCGCGGUAAUACGUAGGGACCUAGCGUUGUUCGGAAUUAUUGGGCGUAAAGGGUACGUAGGCGGCUUAGUAAGUCGGAUGUGAAAGUCUCGGGCUCAACCUGAGGAUUGCGUCCGACACUGCUGAGCUAGAGUUAUGGAGAGGAAGGCGGAAUUCCUGGUGUAGGGGUGAAAUCUAUAGAUAUCAGGAAGAACAUCGGUUGCGAAGGCUGCCUUCUGGACAUAAACUGACGCUGAUGUACGAAAGUUAGGGUAGCAAACAGGAUUAGAGACCCUGGUAGUCCUAACCGUAAACGUUGUAUACUAGGUGGUGGGAGUAAUGAUCCUUUCACUGCCGGAGCUAACGCAUUAAGUAUACCGCAUGGGGAGUAUGCCGGCAACGGUGAAACUCAAAGGAAUUGACGGGGGCCCGCACAAGCAGUGGAGCAUGUUGUUUAAUUCGAUGAUACGCGAGUAACCUUACCAGGUCUUGACAUAUACUUGAAUGGCAUGGAAACAUGUCAGCUUUUCGGAGCAGGUAUACAGGUGCUGCAUGGUUGUCGUCAGCUCGUGCCGUGAGGUGUUGGGUUAAGUCCCGCAACGAGCGCAACCCUUAUUCUUUGUUGCUAACGUGUAAUGGCGAGCACUCUAAGGAGACUGCCGGUGACAAACCGGAGGAACGGUGGGGAUGACGUCAAAUCAUCACGGCCAUUACGACCUGGGCUACAACCGUGCUACAAUGGCAAGUACAAAGAGUAGCGAUACCGCGAGGUGGGCCAAUCUCAAAAAGCUGUCCUCAGUUCGGAUUGGAGUCUGAAACCCGACUCCAUGAAGCUGGAAUUGCUAGUAAUCGCACAUCA
This 1294-nucleotide ribosomal RNA is filed under the name uncultured organism. Its description in RNAcentral is "bacterial SSU rRNA". It matches the Rfam family "Bacterial small subunit ribosomal RNA", at positions 58 to 1351 of the family's 1533-position model. The record is from RNAcentral.